UCAGAUAUGGAUCAGUGGUAGAGCAUUUACCUAGCAUGUGAAGGCCUUGGGUUCAAUCCCUAGUACCUGAA
This 71-nucleotide transfer RNA is filed under the name Fukomys damarensis (Damara mole-rat). It matches the Rfam family "tRNA". Rfam says of the family: Transfer RNA (tRNA) molecules are approximately 80 nucleotides in length. Their secondary structure includes four short double-helical elements and three loops (D, anti-codon, and T loops). The record is from Rfam by way of RNAcentral. Lineage: Eukaryota; Metazoa; Chordata; Mammalia; Rodentia; Bathyergidae.